AGCGAACGCUGGCGGCAGGCUUAACACAUGCAAGUCGAGCGGGCCCUUCGGGGUCAGCGGCGGACGGGUGAGUAACGCGGGGGAACGUGCCCUCUGGUUCGGAACAACUCAGGUUAACUUGAGCUAAUACCGGUUACGCUCUUUUGGGGAAAGGGCUACUGCCGGAUGAUCGGGCCGGGUCUGUUUAGGCGGUUGGGGGUGUAACGGCCUGUCAAGGCGACGUUCGGGGGCUGGUCUGGUAGGAGGAUCCGCCACAAUGGCGCUGCGACACGGCCCACACUCCUACGCAGGAGAGCAGUAGAGAAUAUUAGGGGAUGGAGGCUAACCUAGUCCAGCCGUGCGGCGUGAGUGAUGAAGGCCUUAGGGUUGUGAAGCUGUUUUAGCCGGGACGUUAGUGACGGUACCGGGGGAAUAAGCCCCGGCUAACUUCGUG
This 433-nucleotide ribosomal RNA is filed under the name uncultured bacterium. RNAcentral's name for it is "partial 16S ribosomal RNA". It matches the Rfam family "Bacterial small subunit ribosomal RNA", at positions 28 to 507 of the family's 1533-position model. The record is from RNAcentral.